RNAcentral lists this ribosomal RNA (1604 nucleotides) under Niphargus puteanus. RNAcentral describes it as "eukaryotic LSU rRNA". The stretch from base 1169 to 1604 matches the Rfam family "Eukaryotic large subunit ribosomal RNA", at positions 1 to 385 of the family's 3401-position model. Lineage: Eukaryota; Metazoa; Arthropoda; Malacostraca; Amphipoda; Niphargidae. The record is from RNAcentral.
AAAGUCGUAACAAGGUUUCCGUAGGUGAACCUGCGGAAGGAUCAUUAACGAUUGCUACAUAUGCAAAACAAAACGUUUAACGUUUGUGUGGUUUUUGACUGGAUUUUACUCGAAAACUCCUGACGAGAUCAGGAAGGAUGAUGCCUCUCGCGCAAGCGAGGACAAGGCCAUCGUGGUCGUUGUGCGUUAGCCCUGCGAACGAUGUAAAACAAACAACCGAUGGCCUCUCAUACAGUAUAAUAUCUCUCGCCAUGGCGUACAGGCCUGGCAUCUGGUACGAGUCUCUCGCAGUCUCAAAACCAACCUUACAACUCUGAGCGGUGGAUCACUUGGCUUGUGGAUGCUAUGAAGACCAUAGCUAAGUGUGAGAAUGGCAGCGAGCCGUCGCUAUAUGCGCUGUCCUCUUCUUAUCACAUGUCGAAUGCACAUUGCGCCCCACCCAGCGGCGGCUAAACAACCUGCAGACAAAAGCCUGAUAGUUGGAACAAAGGCAAGUGUGUGGCCCUCGAGCAACGGCGGGGGAGCCAGGAGCACAUGAGCGUGCGGACCAACUUCUCGUUAGUAGUCAGGCUGACCCUAUGGUGGGGCACUCCUAGUCGAGUGUGGUGGAUCGGACUCAUCUCUUUCGCGCGCUGCGUCUGAGCUUGAGUUUCUUUGUUGCUGGAGGCUAUUUGGGUCGACAUCAGUCGUGCCCGUAAACAACUGCCUUGGCUCGUGCCUCUGUGCGUUCUGGCUUAACCUCUGGAGGUGCGUACAUUGAAGGCCAACGCUGGCGAUCACUCUUGCGGCCAGGGCACUACCUAUGCCAUGCAUGUCAUGCAUGGCGGUACUGCGCAGAGGUCCAAAUGGAUUUUGAAUACGAGAGUCGAGUCUUUAGUACUCUGGCCCGCUUGCACUCGGGGAGAGGGUGGUGAUAUGGUGAUAUCUGCGUAUACGCUUUUCUGGUAUGGGUUCGUCUCUCUCGUAGUAUUCGAGAAUGACAAGCCUUACUUCUUUUGUUCACACACAGGCUGGCAGACAAAGAAACGCCUGACGAGAUCAGGACGGAUUUUCUCUAACAGUGUGACAGGAGAGACGGAGAGGCCUGCAAUACCGCUCCACUUUUCGAUGAACUGGGUGCGACCGUUGGUAUGAGAAAGACUUUGGCUCUUCGUGUUUGUGAUAGCCACCACCUCGACUUAGGAGAGGUUACCCGCUGAACUUAAGCAUAUCAGUAAGCGGAGGAAAAGAAACCAAUCAGGGAUUCCCUUAGUAGGGGCGACCGAACAGGGAUGAGCCCAGCGCAGAACCUCCCGGGCCACCCGGCCUGCGGCGGAAUGUUGCGUUAAGGGAAAGGUCGUAGUCAAACCCCACAGCCACGCGAGCUCUAAGUAAGUCACGAAUUGGCUAUCCCAACUAACGGCGGGAAAAUCUCCACGGAGGGUGUAAGACCCGUGUGGGCGCGUGUAAAUGCUGUGUGGGCUCGGCCUCUUUUCCCUGAGAGUCGCGUUGCUUGAGCAUGCAGCGCUAAGCAGGUCGUAAACUCGAUCUAAGGCUAAAUAUGUCCACAAGACCGAUAGCGAACAAGUACCGUGAGGGAAAGUUGAAAAGCACUCUGAAGAGAG